AACCAGCGUGACAGUUCUUUCUUGUAGGCUCAAGGUCGAAUCCAAGUACAGAAGGCACCUUGUCUUCGGGAAGAAGGACCAUAAAGCCAUGCCUCGCUUGCUGUCCUGGGAACCAAUGCUGCACUUCAGGAAGCAUUCUUCAUAGAAGUUUGGCGGAUAAUGCACUCGCUGUCCAUGGGGAGUGGAGCCAAGUUGCUGAGCCAGCGCCAGGAUUGUGACACCGUAGUGAUAUCGUCAUGGAUGUUCAUGACGGUGAAGCCAGCACAUCCGCUGACUACUGAAGGAAAUAGUGACAGAUCACAGAGCAUCUGCCACAUCUGCCGCCGAGAUCUGAUAACCUGAAGGUUUCUCCACAGACUUCCUUAGCCCUGAUCUUUCCGACCCCUUGGGGUCUCCAUUGCAGCCUGGGUCUUGCUAAAGCUUCACGCAAUGGCCUCUCGGGGACUUUCUACAGGAAUUUUGACACUGCUACACUUCCGUCUGGCCUCCGCAACUCUCCAGACUUGGAUGCCAAACUUGACGACUCCCUUAGUCUUGCGCGGUUCCUGCUCAGUCCCGCUGUCGGGAUGAAUGCUGAGGUGAGCUUUUUGCACCUAGACUCUCCC
Molecule: long non-coding RNA, 605 nt
Organism: Apodemus sylvaticus (European woodmouse)
Lineage: Eukaryota; Metazoa; Chordata; Mammalia; Rodentia; Muridae
Exons: 4
Source: RefSeq, a predicted model, not a curated record